This 479-nucleotide ribosomal RNA is filed under the name Streptococcus sp. oral taxon A04. RNAcentral describes it as "bacterial SSU rRNA". It matches the Rfam family "Bacterial small subunit ribosomal RNA", at positions 28 to 493 of the family's 1533-position model. Lineage: Bacteria; Bacillati; Bacillota; Bacilli; Lactobacillales; Streptococcaceae. The record is from RNAcentral.
GACGAACGCUGGCGGCGUGCCUAAUACAUGCAAGUAGAACGCUGAAGGAGGAGCUUGCUUCUCUGGAUGAGUUGCGAACGGGUGAGUAACGCGUAGGUAACCUGCCUCUUAGCGGGGGAUAACUAUUGGAAACGAUAGCUAAUACCGCAUAAAAGUCGAUAUCGCAUGAUAUUGAUUUGAAAGGUGCAAUUGCAUCACUAAGAGAUGGACCUGCGUUGUAUUAGCUAGUUGGUGAGGUAACGGCUCACCAAGGCGACGAUACAUAGCCGACCUGAGAGGGUGAUCGGCCACACUGGGACUGAGACACGGCCCAGACUCCUACGGGAGGCAGCAGUAGGGAAUCUUCGGCAAUGGGGGCAACCCUGACCGAGCAACGCCGCGUGAGUGAAGAAGGUUUUCGGAUCGUAAAGCUCUGUUGUAAGAGAAGAACGAGUGUGAGAGUGGAAAGUUCACACUGUGACGGAACUACCAGAAAGGAC